UUACAUUUUUAGCCAUUAAAUGUAAUUGGCAAUCUGGCAUAUAAUUUCACUUAGCCAAAUGUGAUGACGUGGGUCGAAACUGCUGUCCAUUUUGUCGAAAUGUCGGCCAUUGUUAGCUGUACGUCUCAUCUCGUGCAGAAACACUUCAGAGCUAUUGAUUUUCAGGUCAGAAAUGGAGAUCUCCCUUUGCUCAACUGUUGCAGAAAUUUAAAACACGACAAAGUCUGAGCUUUAUUGAUGCUGCCGGCUGUAGUAUCAUUGAUGUGGUUUUGUUGCAGCCAGUUGGUGAAAGGUGUGAUCGAGUCAUGGUUGAGUUGCAGCUUCUGCAUGCAGUUUAUCGAGCUGGUGCUAUCCCAAGUGUAACUGCAGGAAAACUUCUUGAAUUGUUAAUGACUAGAGAGUAGACCCCUUUGCUUCUCUGUUGCAAUUAUGAGUUAAGACCAUUAUGGAAAUGUGGAUUACAUUUGUUAUUUUCAA
RNAcentral lists this unclassified non-coding RNA (477 nucleotides) under Daphnia pulicaria. RNAcentral's name for it is "uncharacterized LOC124317474, transcript variant X8". Lineage: Eukaryota; Metazoa; Arthropoda; Branchiopoda; Diplostraca; Daphniidae. The record is from RNAcentral.